UUAGCUCUUAUGCGAUCGGAAACAAGUUUAACAUUAUUAUUCCACAAAUCAGUAGCAAGCCAAUCGUGCUCGGCGUUACCCAAUGCAUCAACAAAUAUAUCAGAUAAAUGAAUGCCCAUUUUGAGAGGUUCACUGGCAGCAUUCAGAACAGCCACUACCCAAUCAUUAUUGGAAAGCCUUCCAGAAAAAAGCUCUAUAUAUUCGUCACCGUAUUUUUUUUUCCAAAUAAGAGCAGCAGGAUUUGUACCAAUAUCUUGAUUUAUAGAAAUUAACUCUUUGUUGGAUACAAUUAACUUAUCCAUAGGAGACAUGCUACUGACAUCGUUACCAAGUAUAAGGGGAGAUUUUAGUAUUGCCCACAUUGUGAAAUGAGUUUUAUACUCCUCAAAGCUCAUACCUCCAUUUCCAACCUCUAACGAAUCAAGAUCGUUCCAUCCACUGUUCAUACCUGCUUUAGAACUAAGAAACGAUGCUUUACUAAUAAUAUUCAUUACUGAACAAUGAUCUCCCUGAAGCGCAAAACAUUCGAUUGUCUCGCACGGACAACGCACAUCCUUACGACUAAAUGUAUCAAAGAUAUCUCCACUUAUCCUCCAAGAGUUAGCUAUUGUAUUUCCCCAAUUCCAAACAAAAUCUUCACCCCAUUGGCAUAAAGAGUAAAAAAUUGGUCUUCCAGUUUUGUUUAGAGCAUCAGACAUUCGCUUGUAACGUUCAUAGCUAAUCAAGGGAACGCCGCUUUUCCCUUCGUUGAAGCAAUUGUCAUACUUUAAGUAAUCUACUCCCCAAUCUGCAAAUGUAUCAGCAUCAAUUUGCUCAUGGUUUAAUGAUCCAGGAAAUCCAGCACAUGUAUAUUUCCCUGCACUUGAGUACAUUCCAAAUUUAAACCCCAUGUCAUGUAAUUUUUUUGCCAUUGAACCAAUUCCGUUGGGGAAUUUAUCAGGAUUUGCUUCCAAUCUACCAGUGGUUGCAUUCCGCUCAUGCUUGCUCCAACAGUCAUCCAUUACUAUAUACUCAUAACCUAAGUCAAGAAGUCCUUCCUCUUUUAUAGCCUUGGCAUUAUUAAGGAUUAUAGACUCAUCGAUAUCACAGGCAUAUUUAUUCCAAGAAUUCCACCCCAUUUGAGGUUUUAGUCCCAAACCAUUAUAGCUACCAUGAACAUCUGAGAAAAACAAAAAAAGGAAUACCAAAAAAAAGCAAUUUAAAAAUGAAAUGGAUAUCAUUGUUAAUGGUUGAUUCACAGAAGUGCGCUAGCUAGCUGCAUAAUGCUAUUCUUGAAUAACCUUAUCGACAUCAUAUUACGUUUCGAAAUGUUACUUAAAGGCAUUCACUUAGUAAAGGAUUUUAGAAUAGGAAGGUCAAAACUUAAGCAUGCAGUGAGGUUCUUUGAAGCAGGUUAUUUUUAUUUAGCUUAAUGUUACAAUGAAACUCGAGUAAAUAUAUAUAUUAGAAUAAGAGUAGUCAAUUAUUUUAAAUAACUCGAGUACUUUUCAUACAUUAACCAAACAAUGUUUAAGAACAAGAAGUCAAUAUCGCUUACAUAAUGAUAAAACGUUACGGUUACUUAAUAAGAUUUUUACAAGGACAUAUUGGAAUGCGGAUUAUUUAACUCAUGUGCUACGGUAAUACAUU
Molecule: long non-coding RNA, 1629 nt
Filed under: Schizosaccharomyces pombe (fission yeast)
Lineage: Eukaryota; Fungi; Ascomycota; Schizosaccharomycetes; Schizosaccharomycetales; Schizosaccharomycetaceae
Source: RNAcentral